GCUUAUGCAAGUUUGUGUAGCUACUGUUCAUGUCACUCAGCAUUUCCUUCAGCUUUUGGUUCUCUGCAUUCACACGUCCAAGCUCCUCUUGCAAUUGCUCCGUCUAAAAAUUUAACAAACAAUUGUAUAUAUUUGCAAAUAAUAACUACUAUCUUGAGGAGAUAUUUUAAUGCCAGCUUGAGAUUCUUCAAUGAAUAAACUGAUCAAAGGCAAAGAAUGCAUAAGUUGCAGGGGAAGCAUAGGUCAUAGGGAUAUAAAAGCUCUGACACCAAAGAACCAACAUUCAUAUCAGAGACAACCUCUUGAAAUCAAAACAUAUUCCCAUAACACAAAUCAAAAACUAAUUUGAUCAGUACUAAUUUCAUAAAUA
This is a long non-coding RNA of Medicago truncatula (barrel medic), 370 nucleotides long. RefSeq lists it as uncharacterized. The record is from RefSeq and is a predicted model, not a curated record. The transcript is spliced from 3 exons. Lineage: Eukaryota; Viridiplantae; Streptophyta; Magnoliopsida; Fabales; Fabaceae.